UCCCUGGUGGUCCAGUGACUAAGACUCUGUGCUUCCAAUGCAGAAGGCCUGGGUGCAAUUCCUGGUCAGGGAA
Ovis aries (sheep) is the source of this 73-nucleotide transfer RNA. It matches the Rfam family "tRNA". Rfam says of the family: Transfer RNA (tRNA) molecules are approximately 80 nucleotides in length. Their secondary structure includes four short double-helical elements and three loops (D, anti-codon, and T loops). Lineage: Eukaryota; Metazoa; Chordata; Mammalia; Artiodactyla; Bovidae. The record is from Rfam.